AUUGAACGCUGGCGGCAGGCCUAACACAUGCAAGUCGAGCGGAUGAAGGGAGCUUGCUCCUGGAUUCAGCGGCGGGCGGGUGAGUAAUGCCUAGGAAUCUGCCUGGUAGAGGGGGAUAACGUCCGGAAACGGGCGCUAAUACCGCAUACGUCCAGAGGGAGAAAGUGGGGGAUCUUCGGACCUCACGCUAUCAGAUGAGCCUAGGUCGGAUUAGCUAGUUGGUGGGGUAAAGGCCUACCAAGGCGACGAUCCGUAACUGGUCUGAGAGGAUGAUCAGUCACACUGGAACUGAGACACGGUCCAGACUCCUACGGGAGGCAGCAGUGGGGAAUAUUGGACAAUGGGCGAAAGCCUGAUCCAGCCAUGCCGCGUGUGUGAAGAAGGUCUUCGGAUUGUAAAGCACUUUAAGUUGGGAGGAAGGGCAGUAAGUUAAUACCUUGCUGUUUUGACGUUACCAACAGAAUAAGCACCGGCUAACUUCGUG
Molecule: ribosomal RNA, 484 nt
Filed under: uncultured bacterium
Lineage: Bacteria
Description: partial 16S ribosomal RNA
Rfam family: Bacterial small subunit ribosomal RNA
Source: RNAcentral